Molecule: ribosomal RNA, 119 nt
Filed under: Pteropus alecto (black flying fox)
Lineage: Eukaryota; Metazoa; Chordata; Mammalia; Chiroptera; Pteropodidae
Source: RNAcentral
GUCUACGGCUAUGCUACCCUGAACAAGCCCGAUCUCAUCUUAUCUCGGAAGCUAAGCAGGGUUGGGCCUUGUUAGUACUUGGAUAGGAGACCACCUAGGAUGACCAGGUGCUGUAGGCA